RNAcentral lists this transfer RNA (66 nucleotides) under Marmota monax (woodchuck). RNAcentral's name for it is "tRNA.Ala". The record is from RNAcentral. Lineage: Eukaryota; Metazoa; Chordata; Mammalia; Rodentia; Sciuridae.
GGUGGUAGCUCAGUGGUAGAGUACUUGCCUAGCACAUAGAGAUACCGUGUUCAAUCCUCAGCACCA